This 1348-nucleotide ribosomal RNA is filed under the name uncultured bacterium. RNAcentral describes it as "bacterial SSU rRNA". It matches the Rfam family "Bacterial small subunit ribosomal RNA", at positions 23 to 1365 of the family's 1533-position model. The record is from RNAcentral.
CUCAGGAUGAACGCUAGCUACAGGCUUAACACAUGCAAGUCGAGGGGCAGCAUGGUCUUAGCUUGCUAAGGCCGAUGGCGACCGGCGCACGGGUGAGUAACACGUAUCCAACCUGCCGUCUACUCUUGGACAGCCUUCUGAAAGGAAGAUUAAUACAAGAUGGCAUCAUGAGUCCGCAUGUUCACAUGAUUAAAGGUAUUCCGGUAGACGAUGGGGAUGCGUUCCAUUAGAUAGUAGGCGGGGUAACGGCCCACCUAGUCUUCGAUGGAUAGGGGUUCUGAGAGGAAGGUCCCCCACAUUGGAACUGAGACACGGUCCAAACUCCUACGGGAGGCAGCAGUGAGGAAUAUUGGUCAAUGGGCGAGAGCCUGAACCAGCCAAGUAGCGUGAAGGAUGACUGCCCUAUGGGUUGUAAACUUCUUUUAUAAAGGAAUAAAGUCGGGUAUGGAUACCCGUUUGCAUGUACUUUAUGAAUAAGGAUCGGCUAACUCCGUGCCAGCAGCCGCGGUAAUACGGAGGAUCCGAGCGUUAUCCGGAUUUAUUGGGUUUAAAGGGAGCGUAGAUGGAUAUUUAAGUCAGUUGUGAAAGUUUGCGGCUCAACCGUAAAAUUGCAGUUGAUACUGGAUAUCUUGAGUGCAGUGAGGCAGGCGGAAUUCGUGGUGUAGCGGUGAAAUGCUUAGAUAUCACGAAGAACUCCGAUUGCGAAGGCAGCCUGCUAAGCUGCAACUGACAUUGAGGCUCGAAAGUGUGGGUAUCAAACAGGAUUAGAUACCCUGGUAGUCCACACGGUAAACGAUGAAUACUCGCUGUUUGCGAUAUACUGCAAGCGGCCAAGCGAAAGCGUUAAGUAUUCCACCUGGGGAGUACGCCGGCAACGGUGAAACUCAAAGGAAUUGACGGGGGCCCGCACAAGCGGAGGAACAUGUGGUCUAAUUCGAUGAUACGCGAGGAACCUUACCCGGGUUUGAACGCAUUCGGACCGAGGUGGAAACACCUUUUCUAGCAAUAGCCGUUUGCGAGGUGCUGCAUGGUUGUCGUCAGCUCGUGCCGUGAGGUGUCGGCUUAAGUGCCAUAACGAGCGCAACCCUUGCCACUAGUUACUAACAGGUAAAGCUGAGGACUCUGGUGGGACUGCCAGCGUAAGCUGCGAGGAAGGCGGGGAUGACGUCAAAUCAGCACGGCCCUUACAUCCGGGGCGACACACGUGUUACAAUGGCGUGGACAAAGGGAAGCCACUUGGCGACAGGGAGCGAAUCCCCAAACCACGUCUCAGUUCGGAUCGGAGUCUGCAACCCGACUCCGUGAAGCUGGAUUCGCAAAUAAUCGCGCAUCAGCCAUGGCGCGGUGA